RNAcentral lists this transfer RNA (81 nucleotides) under Nocardiopsis eucommiae. RNAcentral describes it as "Nocardiopsis sp. HDS5 tRNA-Arg". It matches the Rfam family "tRNA". From Rfam's summary of the family: Transfer RNA (tRNA) molecules are approximately 80 nucleotides in length. Their secondary structure includes four short double-helical elements and three loops (D, anti-codon, and T loops). Lineage: Bacteria; Bacillati; Actinomycetota; Actinomycetes; Streptosporangiales; Nocardiopsidaceae. The record is from RNAcentral.
GCACCCUGUGGCACGUACGGGCGCGAAAGCAUCGGACUUCUAAUCCGACGGUCGCAGGUUCGAAUCCUGCCGGGUGCGCCA